GACGAACGCUGGCGGCGUGCCUAAUACAUGCAAGUCGAGCGAAGUUUUUCUGGUGCUUGCCCUAGAAAAACUUAGCGGCGAACGGGUGAGUAACACGUAAAGAACCUGCCUCAUAGACUGGGACAACUAUUGGAAACGAUAGCUAAUACCGGAUAACAGUAUUUCUCGCACGAGAGAUAUUUAAAAGUUGGUUAUGCUAACACUAUGAGAUGGCUUUGCGGUGCAUUAGCUAGUUGGUGGGGUAAAGGCCCACCAAGGCGACGAUGCAUAGCCGACCUGAGAGGGUGAUCGGCCACACUGGGACUGAGACACGGCCCAGACUCCUACGGGAGGCAGCAGUAGGGAAUCUUCCGCAAUGGGCGAAAGCCUGACGGAGCAACGCCGCGUGAGUGAAGAAGGAUUUCGGUUCGUAAAGCUCUGUUGUUAGGGAAGAAUGGAUAUGUAGUAACUAUACAUGUAAGAGACGGUACCUAACCAGAAAGCCACGGCUAACUACGUG
Molecule: ribosomal RNA, 499 nt
Filed under: uncultured bacterium
Lineage: Bacteria
Description: partial 16S ribosomal RNA
Rfam family: Bacterial small subunit ribosomal RNA
Source: RNAcentral